GGCAUCAUUGAAAUUUUUCACUAUAGCUGAUAUAAUUGAUGCUGUCUUUGUUUUACUUGGAGUGUCAAAAGAAAAAUGAUGAAAAUAACCAAAACCCAUUGGGACAAUUAGGACAUCAAAUGCAGUAUUUAGUUCCUGUAUUUCCUGCAUUUUUAGGUUAAACAAAGAGACACAAAGUGAAAACGAAAAACUUAUAGUUAGCUGAAGUUUCUAGUGUCUUUCAACUAACAAAAGUUUAAGGUAGGGCCACACAAUACUCCCUUUGUCCCAAAAAGGUUGACACCUUCAUUUUCUCACUUGGUUAAAGAAAACAUUAUUAAUAUUAUGCUAACUCACAUUUUCCAUUUCAUUUUUCCUUUCAUACCCCUCAUUAUUUCCUAGAAAAGUUGUCGUCUUUCUCUUUCCUUUAAGUUAUUUUCCUUGAAAAAU
RNAcentral lists this unclassified non-coding RNA (429 nucleotides) under Hevea brasiliensis (rubber tree). The record is from RNAcentral. Lineage: Eukaryota; Viridiplantae; Streptophyta; Magnoliopsida; Malpighiales; Euphorbiaceae.